AUUGAACGCUGGCGGCAUGCUUUACACAUGCAAGUCGAACGGCAGCGCCACUUUCGUCCUGGCCGCGUGUCGCACACGUGUGUGUUAUAUAUCAACACGUCUCGUAUUGUGGGGUAUCUCUCCGCGAGAGUAGCUUUUAUCCCACAUGAUCCCUGAGUGAGAACGCGGGAGCUCCUCGCCUUUCGCUCUUUUAGCGCCUCCGAUGGCAGAUUAUCUAGUUGGUGGUGUAAAGGCCUACCAAGGCGACGAUCUGUAGCUGGUCUGAGAGGACGACCAGCCACACUGGGACUGAGACACGGCCCAGACUCCUACGGGAGGCAGCAGUGGGGAAUUUUGGACAAUGGGCGAAAGCCUGAUCCAGCAAUGCCGCGUGUGGGAUGAAGGCCUUCGGGUUGUAAAGUACUUUUGGAGGGAACGAAAAGGACUGUGCUAAUACAGGAGGGUGAUGACGGUACCGUAAGAAUAAGCACCGGCUAACUACGUG
RNAcentral lists this ribosomal RNA (484 nucleotides) under uncultured bacterium. Its description in RNAcentral is "partial 16S ribosomal RNA". It matches the Rfam family "Bacterial small subunit ribosomal RNA", at positions 30 to 507 of the family's 1533-position model. The record is from RNAcentral.